UUGUCCUACGGGGGGCAGCAGUGGGGAAUAUUGCACAAUGGGCGAAAGCCUGACGCAGCAACGCCGCGUGAAGGAAGACGGUUUUCGGAUUGUAAACUUCUGUUCUUAGUGAAGAAUAAUGACGGUAACUAAGGAGCAAGCCACGGCUAACUACGUGCCAGCAGCCGCGGUAAUACGUAGGGGGCAAGCGUUGUCCGGAAUUACUGGGUGUAAAGGGAGCGUAGGCGGGAAGCCAAGUCAGCUGUGAAAACUAGGGGGUUAACCUGGAGACUGCUGUUGAAACUGGCUUUCUUGAG
Molecule: ribosomal RNA, 296 nt
Filed under: uncultured bacterium
Lineage: Bacteria
Description: partial 16S ribosomal RNA
Rfam family: Bacterial small subunit ribosomal RNA
Source: RNAcentral